Molecule: long non-coding RNA, 299 nt
Filed under: Phoenix dactylifera (date palm)
Lineage: Eukaryota; Viridiplantae; Streptophyta; Magnoliopsida; Arecales; Arecaceae
Description: long non-coding RNA (PDAC_LNC009088)
Source: RNAcentral
AGCUUUUCUUAGACACUAUUAGUUAGUGGAUAUAAUCACUAGAAAUCACACAAAUUCAAUAUUUAAAAUAACCUAAAUGCAAAUUUAAACGGAUUAACUAAUUUUUGAAUUUUUCGUUUGACCUUUCCGAAUUAGUAACAAUUGAUUACUAAAUUUAAUUCUAGCAAACAAUUAUUGUAAUUAAAAUCUAAUUUAUCAAUUCAAUGAAUUAUAUAUAUUAGAAUUGAUUUAUUUACUUAUUAGAAUAAUUAAUUACUAAUUUUGUAGCAAAUCAAUUAUUGUAAUUAAGAUGUCAAUUC